Dreissena polymorpha is the source of this 307-nucleotide long non-coding RNA. RefSeq lists it as uncharacterized. Lineage: Eukaryota; Metazoa; Mollusca; Bivalvia; Myida; Dreissenidae. The record is from RefSeq and is a predicted model, not a curated record. The transcript is spliced from 3 exons.
CUUAGGUCUAAAUGCGUGUAUCACGUUAUUGGACCUUCAAAAGAGUGUGACUUUGUUACGAACUUGAAAACGAUUGCUGAUCUUGUCAGAGGUUGCCUCGAGAAAACCGUACAAGACGGGUACACUUCCAUUGUGUUCCCAGUGCUUAACCAAGGAAGAUUGAGAGCCGACAAAGUGGCUGAAGCUAUGGUGAAAGCAGUUGUCCAGUUUUGUAAUAAACCGCACGAAAACAUAUCGGAUAUAUUGAUUGUCAUAUAUUACACUGACAAAUUUACUGAGAAUGUAUUUGAACAAACAAUUCCAACAC